GCUUAACCGGAGAAGGGCAUCGGAAACUGGAUAACUUGAGUGCAGAAGAGGGUAGUGGAACUCCAUGUGUAGCGGUGGAAUGCGUAGAUAUAUGGAAGAACACCAGUGGCGAAGGCGGCUACCUAGUCUGUAACUGACGCUGAGGCUCGAAAGCAUGGGUAGCAAACAGGAUUAGAUACCCUGGUAGUCCAUGCCGUAAACGAUGAAUACUAGGUGUUAGGGGGUUUCCGCCCCUUAGUGCCGCAGCUAACGCAAUAAGUAUUCCGCCUGGGGAGUACGACCGCAAGGUUGAAACUCAAAGGAAUUGACGGGGACCCGCACAAGCGGUGGAGCAUGUGGUUUAAUUCGAAGCUACGCGAAGAACCUUACCAGGGCUUGACAUCUUCUGCUAAUCCGAGAGAUCGGACGUUCCCUUCGGGGACGGAAAGACAGGUGGUGCAUGGUUGUCGUCAGCUCGUGUCGUGAGAUGUUGGGUUAAGUCCCGCAACGAGCGCAACCCUUAUGAUUAGUUGCCAGCAUUAAGUUGGGCACUCUAAUGAGACUGCCGGUGACAAACCGGAGGAAGGUGGGGACGACGUCAAAUCAUCAUGCCCCUUAUGUCCUGGGCUACACACGUGCUACAAUGGAUGGUACAACG
This 637-nucleotide ribosomal RNA is filed under the name uncultured bacterium. Its description in RNAcentral is "bacterial SSU rRNA". It matches the Rfam family "Bacterial small subunit ribosomal RNA", at positions 607 to 1244 of the family's 1533-position model. The record is from RNAcentral.